Molecule: ribosomal RNA, 440 nt
Filed under: uncultured bacterium
Lineage: Bacteria
Description: partial 16S ribosomal RNA
Rfam family: Bacterial small subunit ribosomal RNA
Source: RNAcentral
CCUACGGGAGGCAGCAGUAGGGAAUAUUGCUCAAUGGGGGAAACCCUGAAGCAGCAACGCCGCGUGGAGGAUGACGGUUUUCGGAUUGUAAACCCCUUUUGUUAGAGAAGAUAAUGACGGUACCUAACGAAUAAUCACCGGCGAACUCCGUGCCAGCAGCCGCGGUAAUACGGAGGGUGCAAGCGUUAGUCGGAAGCACUGGGCGUAAAGAGGGCGUAGGCGGGAUAGCAAGUCAGAUGUGAAAUCCCAUGGCUUAACCAUAGAACUGCAUUUGAAACUGUAAUUCUAGAGUAUGGGAGAGGUAGGUGGAAUUCUUGGUGUAGGGGUGAAAUCCGUAGAGAUCAAGAGGAAUACUCAUGGCGAAGGCGGCCUGCUAGAACAUAACUGACGCUGAUGCGCGAAAGCGUGGGGAGCAAACAGGAUUAGAUACCCGAGUAGUC